This 7943-nucleotide long non-coding RNA is filed under the name Citrus maxima (pomelo). RNAcentral describes it as "long non-coding RNA (CMAX_LNC001766)". Lineage: Eukaryota; Viridiplantae; Streptophyta; Magnoliopsida; Sapindales; Rutaceae. The record is from RNAcentral.
CUGAAGUUAACCACCUCUUAACACUGCAGAAAAGUUUACAAACUACUAUUUCACAUUCAUUAUUCAUAUAGGCAUGUAUAGAAGACUGAAACCCAAAAAAUAAAAAAACUAGAAAAUGCACAAUACAACCUCAAGCAGCACAAACACCCGUUUGUCACUUGAAAACGCAUUUGCGGCUCAUCUGCACUGACACAGUAAGAUUCGCCCUGUGGAGGUCGGGGCGGGUCGUUUCAGGUGACCUCCCACGCGCAGUAAGCCUAUUUUUAUAUAUGUACGGAUAUGGAUUUAUAUGCUCUGCCCAUGUAUUUAUACAAUGUGUUGAUAUAAUGUCCAGAAUCAUUCAGUGACCAGAAAAGCAUAGAAGUCUUCAAACUUGCAAGCUUGAAGAAAGCACAAAAAAGGAUUUUGAAAGCAUCAUUCAGUUAGCUUAUUGAUUUAGGAAAGAAGCAAACCAGAAACAGUAACAUUCCCAUCUACAGAACAGGUGCAAAGUAUUUAUCUCUACCGCAACAAAAGUUAGCAAAAAUGAAAGAUCAAACCAUAAUUAAACCUAAAAUAUCCAAAUAGACAUAGAAGGAUGCAGGAAACUGGGAGAAAGAGUAGAAAACUCAUCCCCUGAGAUCACAUAAUACCAAUAUUCCAAAAGAAGCCACAAUGUUCUCUCACUGAAGCAGAAAACUGCAGCUGAACUCGCAUAUUCAAUUAAGCAUGGAUAGAAGCCAGAAAUCAGGAGAAAGAACAAGAGAUGUCAACAUUUCCCUAUCACUUCAACAUAAAUUUGCAAAAAAGAAAGAACAGAGUGCACAUUUUGCAAGCAAAAGCAAUAAAUAGGAAAAAGAAAAAAAAAAAAACCCUUCCUGAGUUGUAGUUCCCGCUCUUCCUCAUAAAUAUCCAAAUGUGCUCCAUCACAUCAACAUAAAGGAGUAGUGGUAGAGCCCCACUAUUCUUGAAAACAUACAAAUGUAAGUCUGCAAAAUAAAUUUGCAGAAGUGGAAGAGAGAAUAAUAGUUUGAAGUUUUAGAACAGAAAAUAAGAAGCAUAAGGCAACAAGCAACUGAAAGGGAACUGAAAAACUCAAUUGACACCCCCUAGUCCCAAAAUUCUUCAAAGCCUUUCUCUGAAACUGCAACACUAAAAUUUGAAAAAUCAAACAAUGAAUCAUUCGGAUUAAGGACCCGUUUGGGGCAGCUGCGCUGCCACUGCGCAGCUGCCCCAAACGGGUCUUAAGAAUAGAUAAGACGCAAGAAACUAGAAGAGACUAGUAUAGAUUAGCCUCAAUACCCCUCAAAAUUCAGAUCACAUUGCCAUCAACAAAUUAGAUAAAAAUAAAACAACAAAAUCAUAACUUGAAUUUGAGAGUCACAUAAGAAGAGAGAACAGAAAUAAACUAAAACAAUGACUAGAACCGCAAACCAAGCGCCUUUAAUAUUCCUCAAAAACUUGGAACAUUCUGCCAUCACUGCCACCUAAAUUUGCAAAAAUGGAAAAAUCUUAAUACAUAUUCCCAUCUAGAAGUGACAAACUAGGAAGAAUAAGAGCCAGAAACAAACUCAAAUAAACCCCCUGAUUGCACAGUAGUACCAACAUUCUUCAAAAACUCGUUAUCAUUUCACUGUAAGUCUGCAACAGAAAUUUUGCAAAAAUGAAAGACCUAAAAACAAUUUGAACCUCAGUACAUCCAGAUAGAUGCAAGCAUAAACUAGAUCAAAAAAUAAAGUGUCAUCAGAAACCCCCUGGGUAGCGGACAACCCUAAUAUUCCACCAAAACUUGGAACUACGUAGAAGAGCAACUCACGAGAAGCCCAUAUUAGCAAUGAUCGGUAUUCCUAAAAAACAGAGAAAUACUUAAAAUCACUGCCAAUACAUUUGCAGAAGUGGUAAAACAUGAUAAUUUGAAAUUCUCAUAUCCAGAUAGCUAUAAAUAGAAGAAAUUAACAAGAAGACACCCGCUCUGUAGCAUAGUCCUAAAACACCUCAAUGAACACUGAACAUUUCUGUGAAACUGCAGUAAAAAAUUUGCAAAAAUUAUGCAGGCUGACAUACAACCUAAACUAUUUAGGUAGGCAUAAAUGGGAUGGGGGAAUUAGUAAAAAGAAUUAAAGUCAUCAGACAUCCCCUGACCACCACUCAAAAACACUUUGCAUCGCUUCUCAAGAAAUUUACAAAAAAAGGAAAGACAAUUCUAAAAUGAAUUGUUAAAAAGGUAUCCAGUUAGGUAGAUACAUAAGAAAUGAACCAAGAAAAGGACUGAAAAAUAUGAUAGAAAAUCCACCGAGUAGAAUCAUCCAACACUCCUUGAAAUGUAGGUCCAUUUCUGUAACAGUGGAACCUAAACUUUGCAAAAAACAACCAUCAUCUGCUGUAUGUUUGCAUAAGAUAUAAGUGAAAAACUGAAAAAGAUUAAAACUUUUUACAGAAGCCUGAGUAGCAAAGUCCCAAUAUUCCACAAAAGCUUGCUACAUUUUGCAAUGCUGCAACAAAAAUUUUGCAAAAAUAAAAGAUCAAAAUAUGUUCUAAGCAUUCAUAUCUGCAUAAAUUUAAAGCCAAAAAACGAGGAGAAACAAUAACAAGAACCAUCAAAAAAUCCCAAGCAGCGGAUAAUCCCGAAAUACCUCAAAACAUUCACCGUCACUGCAAUAUAAAUUUGCAAAAAUGGAAGACUACAAAUAUGAAAGACAAAAUUACAAAUUGAACCUUAUGAAGAAAUGAAAGAUAGUAUGAGACACUAAUAAUAAAUUAGUGAAAGGAAGAAAAACCCAUUGGUCACUACAAGCAGCAUAGUCCCACUAUUCCUUGAAAACACAGGAAUCAUAUCACUGCAACAUAUGUUUGCAGAAGAGAAAGAGGAAAUUUUAGUUAUGGAUUUCAAAAAAAUUGGCAAAUCUGUAACACUGCAACACAAUUGUGCCAAAUAAAUGAUAAGAGAUAUAUUCUUCAAGUACUCAAGAUAAACAUAGACAGAAGUGAGAAACUAUAAGAGACAAAACACUCAUCGGGCACUCCUCAAUGUAUAGCCUCAAAUUCCUCAAAAACUCAGUGCAUACUGCCAUCACUGCAACACAAUUUUCCAAAAUAGCAAGACAUAGGUAGUCAAUAUCUAGCCCCAAUGUAUCUUACAUUUUAACAGAGUAAGAUAAGAAUAUAGAUAUAAUAAAUUAGACAAAAGACUAAAAAUCAAGGAAGAUACCCCCACGUACAACAGUCCCAAUGUUCCGGAAAACUAAGUUCCUCAUACCUAUGCAACAAAAAAUUGUGAAGGAAUUAGGGGAAAUUUUUUAGAAGCCAUCAAACACCCCCUUAGAUGAUAGCUAGCCCCAACACUCAAAAUUUGUAACAUUCAACCAUCACUGCUCCAAAAUUUGCAAAAGAUGGAAAACAUAAUUAAAAACUGGACUGUUAGGAUAGAACAAAUAAACUUAGGAAAGGACUAAAAAGCUGUCAGAAAAUCACCCAAGUAGAAUAGUCCUAAUACUCCUUGAAAACUUGGAACAUUUUUUCUCUCACUGCAACAAAAAAUUGCCAAACUAAAAGGGCACAAUGAAGGUAAAGUAUUCAAAGAUAAAGUGGUAAAAACUAAGUAAACGUCUAAAAAAUGCUCCGUGAUACUUCUCAAAAAUUUGUUAAAGAGAGAAGACAACCAAAUACAAUCCUCUCUUACGGAUUACGAAUAGAAGUGAUAAGCUAGAAAAAGGUCAGAAAAAGCCCAUUAAAGACACACCAGUAGCAGUCCCAAUACUCCUCAAAACACCGACCAUUUAAGUAACAUUGCAACAAAAAAAAUUUAUAAAAUGACAUUACCAAAGCACGAAUAUGUUCUCAAUGUUCAUAGAUAGAAAAAGCUCAUUAUAGACACCACGAGACAAAAGUCCUGGUAUUCCAUAAAAACUACAAACAUCAACCGAGCAACAUCAUUCUGAAGCAUCAUUCUCUGUAAUCAAACCAAAAAAAACAAAAUGAGCACAGGGCUAACUAGCAACCAAGACAAGCUAAAAAGGGAAAACAAAGUCCAGGAGGUAUAGUAUCAAUAGGCAAUAUCUGCCCAACAACACUCGGAAUUCCACCACACCAAAACUCUCUUUCAACUAGAGAAAAGGGGGGCAAUGGAACAGCUAUAACAAUUCUCUGUAACCAAACAAAUCAUAGAACAGAUCACAGGAUCAACUCAAAAAACAGAAAGAUGCAUCAAAGAGAAAAAAAAGGGGAAUAUAAGUACACAAGAUAAGCGUGCCAGCAUUAUGAUCCCCACACGCGGACACCCUUCCAUGUAGAAUAUUUGCUAAAAAGUUCAACACACUGAAUAAUCUGAUGAUAGGGCAAAAUAUUGAUAAACAUCAGAAGUAUAUUUACUUGGUAUAUGGAUAAUCCAUAAAGGCUCAAUAACCAGUGGUAGAAUGUUUCCCUUACACCCCCAUUUAUUGUUGCCAAAUAGUUGAUUCCAGCAGCUGCUUCAAAAGUGAUAAUCAACAAAUAGCAAGGAAUUUUGUGCCCUACAAACUUGCAGAAGCCUUGCUGUAGCCAAUCACAACCCGGAAGACAAACCACUCACUAUAUUGACCAUUGGCCAGAGUAUUUUCCAACAGAAACCUGAAGCAUAUAACCUCAUUGAAAUCAAACAAACAAGAUUCCAACACAAACCUGCAGGAUGUAAGCUCAUCAACAAAUUAAACAAAUAAGAUAACAAGCAAACCGCAAAACACCAACAAAACUCUUUAUUCGCAGAUGUCCACAAACAAUUCUCUACUGGCAAGCUGCAACAACAAUUUGGCAAAAUGACUGACCAAAUUACACUCUACAGCAAGGCAUUGAGAAGCUAAAUCAUUUACUAGAAGCCCCUUGAAUAGCGUUCUGCAACACUUCUCAAAAACACGAAGAUGUACUCAUAAAUCCACAACAUUCAAAAUUUCAAUCUAUUUAAAAACGAUCCACAAGCAAUUCAAACAUUUUCACCUCACUCCAACAGAGAUGCACAAAUGAAAGACCAAAAUAUGAGAUAAACCUCAUAGUAUUCAGGUAGCCAUGUGGAAGCUAGAAGCAAGAAGAAAGAAUUAGAGUCAUCAGAAGCCCCUGCAGUGGAGAGAAAGCCUUAAUACUCCAAAAAACUGAACACACUUUGCCAUCGCUGCUCAAGAAAUUUGCAACAAACAUAGUUAUACUUCGGAGCAUUCAGUUAGGCAGAGAUAAAAGAAACCAACUGGAAAAAUGACUGAAUAACACAAUAGAAAACUCCUCCAGUGAAAUGGUCACUUGAUUCUUCGAAAACUCGGAAAAUUCCUCAAUCAUAGAAGCUCCCUUUGCAGCAGUCCAGAUAUUCCUCAACUACUAAAUCCAUUUCUGAAACUCUGCAACAUUUAACAUUGCAAAAAAUGAAACAGCCAGAUUACAAUAUGCUCUAAAAUAUUCAUGAAUAGAAGUGAUUAAAAAAAGUUCGAAAAAAUUCAUUAGAUCAGCCCCUAGAAGUGGUCAAAUACCCAGACCAUUUCUCAAUAACUGCAACAUAACACUUGCAAAAAUCAAAUGACCAAAAUACAAUUGGGUUUUUAAGUUUUCAUAGAUAAAUUUGUAGAUGCGAUCAGCUAAGAAAGGGCCGAAUGACAUCCCCAAAUCCUACCCAAACCUUUGAAAAAGGGGGAAAAAACCCCACAUCAUAGAAAAGAAGUUCACAAAAAUGAAAGCUGAACUUAUAGUACUCAAACAGGCAUAGAUGGAAGCUACCUACAAGAAAGAACAAGGGAGUUGUCAGAAACUCCUAAGGUGGAGAGUUGGCAAGAUAAAACACUUAUUCAUCACUCUCAAGAAAUUUGCAAAAAAUGAAAGACAGAGUUAAUACAAACCUCAAGGAUUCAGUUAGGUAAAGAUAGAAGAAAUAAACUGCAAAAAUUACUAAAAUAGGACAAUAGAAAACCCCCUGACUAGAAUAGUCCUAGUAUUCUUUCAAAACUUGCUCCCAGCGUUACUUGGAACUUGGAAUGUUUCCCUAUUGCUGCCACAGAACAUUGCAAAACUGAAAAGAUUUGCUCAACUAUACGGACAGUAAACUAAGAAAAAGUCAUGAAUGCCACCUUCGUAACAGAGCCCAAAUGUUCCUCAGCUACCCAAACCAUUUCUAGAACACCGAAACGUAAAAAAUUACAAAAAUGAAAUGGCCCGAAUACAAUCUGCACUGAAGUAUUCAUAUUAAAAUUAAUAAACUAAGAGCAGAUUCCAAAGGAAAAAAAAAAAAAAAAACUCAUGAAACAUCACCCAGAUGCAGAGUCACGGUAUUCCUCAAAUACUCUUUAACACUGCCACACAAAAGUAUGCGUAAAUCAAAAGAUCAAAACGCAAUUUAAUUUUAAGUUUCAUAGAUAGAAGUGAUUAACUAAGGAAGAAUGGACAAAAACUCAUUAGACACCCUCAAGUAUUAGCAGAAUCCCAAUCUUCCACUGAAACCCAAAGAAUUUCCACAUCACUGCAACAGAAAUUGGCAAAAAUGAAAGACAAAAUUAUGAGCUGCAACUUUAUAGCACUCGAAUAGGAUGGAUGGAGCGAGAUAAGGAAAAACAAUAAAGAAGUCAUAAAAACCCCCUGCUGUAGUGAGAUAGCCCAGCAUAACCUGACUAGAAGUUUUCAAUGAGGGAAGUGAUCAACUAAGAAGAGGUCAGAAAAGCUCUUUAACACAUCCCCAGAAUCCCAAUCUUCCAGAAAAAGUCAAAACAUUUCCACAUCGCUGCAGCAUAUGCAAAAACGCAAGAUCAAAAUAUGAGCUGGACAUCAUAGUAUUCAGAAAGGCAAUUGUGGAAGCUAAAAAGAAGGAGAAAACAUAAAAGAGUCCUAAAAACCGGUUGAUAGAUAGCGCCAAUACUCCUCUAAAUCCAUGACCACUAUUUGCACGGUUGUACAUGCAAAAAAAAGAGCAAAUAACAAGCCAGAAACCUCCAGAUUACUUGACAGUUCCAAGUUUAUUAAUCCAUGAAACUUAAGAGCCCCAAUACUCCUCUAAAUGCACGACGACCAUUUGUACUGUUGUACACGCAGAAAAAGAAGCAAAUAAUGAGUCAGACACCUCCUGAUUACUUGACAGUUCCAAGUUAAUUAACACAGGAGACUUAGAGCAGACACCCUACCGGUAUCUCAAACCUCCACUCCGCACAGGAAUUCAAGAUUCUGUAACCAAGAAUUGAAUGAAGAGAAAAGAAAAUUGAAGGCAAAACAACUCCAAUCCACAAUCUCAGCCUACAAUGACACCUUGUCACCAAUAAAUUAAAUGGAACCAUGAAAUUCCAAUUAUAUGAAUAUAUAAAGCUUCAUAAUAAUGAGCAAUAGAUCAAUUACCAAUGAGAGCAACACAAACCAACAAAUUGCCGCCUGCCUAUUUAUUGAACGGCACAAAUUUCAAGAUAAUAUCUUCGUCACCAACAGCAAAAAAAAGAAAAAUAUGUACUAUAAACUCUGUUCGAUUCUCUGCAUAAUACGAACAUUCCGAGAUCUCAAUCUAUUUCACAAACCACCCACAAGCAAGUCAAUAAUCGAAUAUUAUAUAUCAUCUUUAUAAUAAAACCAUAACCCUCAAAAUUCCUUGACAAAGAAGUUAAGAAAGUCACCAAUCAAUCUCAGUUCACUAGUCCAAGAAACUACAGCGGAUGCCCGAUCGAUAAAGAACAGCACAGAUUCAAGAUCCUGUACCCAAUAAUUGAACAAAGAGAAGCCAAGCAACUUCGAUCCAAUACAUCAGUGUAUAAAAUAAAAAUACCUUCGUCUCCAAUAACUCAAAAACAACGAAGAAAUUUCAAUCAAUUCGAAUAACAACACUAAUAUUGCGCUAAAUUAAUUCCCGAUGGUCACACCGCACCCAACCCGUAGAAAAGAACAUAGACAAACAGAAAGAAAGCAUAGGCCCACGACCGUGCUCCCCGACGCGGGGGUAUAUUUAUAGGAUCGCUGGUCAAGAUCGACGGCUAUUGCUU